Acanthochromis polyacanthus (spiny chromis) is the source of this 241-nucleotide long non-coding RNA. RefSeq lists it as uncharacterized. The record is from RefSeq and is a predicted model, not a curated record. The transcript has 3 exons. NCBI's taxonomy places the organism in Eukaryota, Metazoa, Chordata, Actinopteri, Pomacentridae.
UCAUUCAGAAACCAAGAAUCAGCUCCAGCAAGAGAAACAGAAAAAUGAAAAGGCUGAAAGUGACAUGAAGACCCUGAACAGCCGUCUGGAAGAGCUCCGAGAUGAGAAGAAGAAGUGGACGGAGACUGAGAGAAAACUGAAGAAAUUCAUCCUGAACAUGAUGCAGGAGCUGGAUGAAGGAGACUCUCAGCGUUGGCAGCAGAGACAUGAAAAUACAACUGUUGGGAAUCAACUGGAAGAG